This 548-nucleotide ribosomal RNA is filed under the name Bacillus pumilus. RNAcentral's name for it is "bacterial SSU rRNA". It matches the Rfam family "Bacterial small subunit ribosomal RNA", at positions 567 to 1112 of the family's 1533-position model. Lineage: Bacteria; Bacillati; Bacillota; Bacilli; Caryophanales; Bacillaceae. The record is from RNAcentral.
GCUCCGCAGGCGGUUUCUUAAGUCUGAUGUGAAAGCCCCCGGCUCAACCGGGGAGGGUCAUUGGAAACUGGGGAACUUGAGUGCAGAAGAGGAGAGUGGAAUUCCACGUGUAGCGGUGAAAUGCGUAGAGAUGUGGAGGAACACCAGUGGCGAAGGCGACUCUCUGGUCUGUAACUGACGCUGAGGAGCGAAAGCGUGGGGAGCGAACAGGAUUAGAUACCCUGGUAGUCCACGCCGUAAACGAUGAGUGCUAAGUGUUAGGGGGUUUCCGCCCCUUAGUGCUGCAGCUAACGCAUUAAGCACUCCGCCUGGGGAGUACGGUCGCAAGACUGAAACUCAAAGGAAUUGACGGGGGCCCGCACAAGCGGUGGAGCAUGUGGUUUAAUUCGAAGCAACGCGAAGAACCUUACCAGGUCUUGACAUCCUCUGACAACCCUAGAGAUAGGACGUCCCCCUCCGGGGCACAGAGACACGUGGGGCAUGUGUGUCGCCACCUCUCGUCGCGAGAUGUUGCGUUAAGUCUCGCAACGAGCGCUACCCUUGAGCUU